UAGGGAAUAUUGGGCAAUGGAUGCAAGUCUGACCCAGCCAUGCCGCGUGCCGGAUGAAGGCCCUCAGGGUUGUAAACGGCUUUUAUUCGGGAAGAAGAGCGAGGGUGCGCCCUAGUGUGACGGUACCGAAUGAAUAAGCACCGGCUAACUCCGUGCCAGCAGCCGCGGUAAUACGGAGGGUGCGAGCGUUGUCCGGAUUUAUUGGGUUUAAAGGGUGCGUAGGUGGCUUAAUAAGUCAGUGGUGAAAUACAGCCGCUCAACGGUUGAGGUGCCAUUGAUACUGUUAAGCUUGAAAGAAUUGGAGGCUGCCGGAAUGGAUGGUGUAGCGGUGAAAUGCAUAGAUAUCAUCCAGAACACCGAUUGCGAAGGCAGGUGGCUACGAUUUAUUUGACACUGAGGCACGAAAGCAUGGGGAGCAAACAGG
RNAcentral lists this ribosomal RNA (424 nucleotides) under uncultured bacterium. RNAcentral describes it as "bacterial SSU rRNA". It matches the Rfam family "Bacterial small subunit ribosomal RNA", at positions 355 to 776 of the family's 1533-position model. The record is from RNAcentral.